RNAcentral lists this ribosomal RNA (495 nucleotides) under uncultured bacterium. RNAcentral's name for it is "partial 16S ribosomal RNA". It matches the Rfam family "Bacterial small subunit ribosomal RNA", at positions 28 to 507 of the family's 1533-position model. The record is from RNAcentral.
GACGAACGCUGGCGGCGUGCCUAAUACAUGCAAGUAGAACGCUGAAGGAGGAGCUUGCUCUUCUGGAUGAGUUGCGAACGGGUGAGUAACGCGUAGGUAACCUGCCUGGUAGCGGGGGAUAACUAUUGGAAACGAUAGCUAAUACCGCAUAACAGUAGAUGUUGCAUGACAUUUGCUUAAAAGGUGCAAUUGCACCACUACCAGAUGGACCUGCGUUGUAUUAGCUAGUUGGUGGGGUAACGGCUCACCAAGGCGACGAUACAUAGCCGACCUGAGAGGGUGAUCGGCCAAACUGGGACUGGAACACGGCCCAGACUCCUACGGGAGGCAGCAGGAGGGAAUCUUCGGCAAUGGACGGAAGGCUGACCGAGCAACGCCGCGUGAGGGAAGAAGGGUUUCGGAUCGUAAAGCUCUGUUGUAAGAGAAGAACGAGUGUGAGAGUGGAAAGUUCACACUGUGACGGUAGCUUAACAGAAAGGGACGGCUAACUACGUG